GACACAGCUCGUCGAAGAAUGCUUGGAAAAGGUGGAUGUCUGUUUGUUCAGCGGCAUCCUGAGGAUGCAUAAGAGUACAUACUGCUGUGUGAGUGACUGAUGUGAGCCACAUGAGCCUCAGAGCAGAAUAUUCAUGACCCUUCUAAAUAAGCGCCCUCACCGCCUGAUGAGGGACAAUAAUGUUAAUAAAAUCACAGGAAACACGGAGCUGCUGCUGCUUCACGUCAGAAAUCAGCUCCACCAAUUUGAGGAUUGCAAGAACUGAAGUAUGCAAGCUAUAUGUAGAAAUCACAUCAUUUUACUGUACCUCUACCCAGACCAUCAGUACACCCAGGUUUUGUCCUCCUUACUGCUCAGGGCUCCAGACUAACUGAGAACAGAGGUCACACUAAAAUGUUCAUUUUAAUCUAAUUCAAUUUGAAGGGUUUACAUGUUUAUUCAAUAAAUUGUUUACUUUA
Non-coding RNA from Danio rerio (zebrafish), 458 nucleotides. Lineage: Eukaryota; Metazoa; Chordata; Actinopteri; Cypriniformes; Danionidae. The record is from Ensembl.